RNAcentral lists this ribosomal RNA (301 nucleotides) under uncultured bacterium. RNAcentral describes it as "partial 16S ribosomal RNA". It matches the Rfam family "Bacterial small subunit ribosomal RNA", at positions 509 to 807 of the family's 1533-position model. The record is from RNAcentral.
CAGUCGCCGCGGUAAUACGGAGGGAGCUAGCGUUGUUCGGAAUUACUGAGCGUAAAGCGCGCGUAGGCGGUUACUCAAGUCAGAGGUGAAAGCCCGGGGCUCAACCCCGGAACUGCCUUUGAAACUAGGUGACUAGAAUCUUGGAGAGGUCAGUGGAAUUCCGAGUGUAGAGGUGAAAUUCGUAGAUAUUCGGAAGAACACCAGUGGCGAAGGCGACUGACUGGACAAGUAUUGACGCUGAGGUGCGAAAGCGUGGGGAGCAAACAGGAUUAGAUACCCCAGUAGUCCCUGUCUCUUAUAC